GACGAACGCUGGCGGCGUGCUUAACACAUGCAAGUCGAACGGGCCUGUCUUCUUUUUUGGGGGUGGGUUGAGUGGCGAACGGGUGAGUAUCACGUGAGUAACCUGCCCUUCGGUCCUGGAUAACCGCUUGAAAGGGCGGCUAAUACGGGGUGGUCCGGUUGGUCCGCAUGGGCUGGUCGGGAUAGAUUCACUGUUUUUGGUGUUUCGGCGGGGGAUGGGCUCGCGGCCUAUCAGCUUGUUGGUGGGGUGAUGGCCUACCAAGGCGGUGACGGGUAGCCGGCCGGAGGGGGUGGGCGGCCACACUGGGACUGGGAUACGGCCCAGACUCCUGCGGGAGGCAGCAGUGGGGGGUAUUGCACAAUGGGCGGAAGCCUGAUGCAGCGACGUCGCGUGAGGGAUGGAGGCCUUCGGGUUGUGAACCUCUGUUUCCGGUGGUGAAGGCCCUGUCCGUGUGGUGGGGUUGACGGUAGCCGGGGAUGAAGCGCCGGCUAACUACGUG
This 499-nucleotide ribosomal RNA is filed under the name uncultured bacterium. Its description in RNAcentral is "partial 16S ribosomal RNA". It matches the Rfam family "Bacterial small subunit ribosomal RNA", at positions 28 to 507 of the family's 1533-position model. The record is from RNAcentral.